GCUGUACUUGGCCAACCCCUCAUGGACCACAAAGUCAACAUCUUUUCUUCAGAUGAGGAAACCGUGGCACAAAGAUGGAAAGUGACUUUCCCCCAGCCACACAGCUGGCCUACCUACUUUCUCCCCAUUUUUCUCUAAUCUGCCCACUGCGUAUAAUGGAAAGCAAAUACUGGCACAGUCCUGCUGUCUGCCCAGGUGAAGGAACUCAAUAAUGCUGACAUGAGGAAGUGCAAAUUCAGCUCUGCAGCUAUCAAACCCAAUGACAUUUUGGAGGAAUCUGAAUAAAGGUAA
This is a non-coding RNA of Kogia breviceps (pygmy sperm whale), 291 nucleotides long. Lineage: Eukaryota; Metazoa; Chordata; Mammalia; Artiodactyla; Physeteridae. The record is from RefSeq and is a predicted model, not a curated record.